UACAGAGACUGCAAGCGUUAUUCGGAUUCACUGGGCGUAAAGGGUGCGCAGGCGGCCGAGUGUGUGAGGCGUGAAAGCCCGGGGCUUAACCCCGGAAUUGCACCUCAAACUACACGGCUAGAGCAUUGGAGAGGGUAGCAGAAUUCAUGGUGUAGCAGUGAAAUGCGUAGAUAUCAGGAGGAACACCGGUGGCGAAGGCGCACAUCUGGCCCGAUACUGACGCUGAGGCGCGAAAGCUAGGGGAGCAAACGGG
RNAcentral lists this ribosomal RNA (253 nucleotides) under uncultured bacterium. Its description in RNAcentral is "partial 16S ribosomal RNA". It matches the Rfam family "Bacterial small subunit ribosomal RNA", at positions 524 to 776 of the family's 1533-position model. The record is from RNAcentral.